Molecule: ribosomal RNA, 27 nt
Filed under: Carcharodon carcharias (great white shark)
Lineage: Eukaryota; Metazoa; Chordata; Chondrichthyes; Lamniformes; Lamnidae
Also listed under: 1 other name
Description: partial 28S ribosomal RNA
Source: RNAcentral
UACGACCUCAGAUCAGACGUGACAACC